UGCUUUGCAAUUUUUGACCACCUAAUCAUAAUGAAGGAUAAUCAUCACGAGUUGAUAAACUAUAUCACUUUUUGUUUGAAAAAAAAUAUAUUAUGUUUUUGAAGGUUCGAUCUAGUUGUUGAUGCAAUGAAACAGCUACAUCUACGUCGAGCAAUAAAAAAAGGUUUGCAUUGAGACUUUGUAAGCUUUGGUUGUAGAACAACAUUUGCCAAAUGCUUCGAUUUUGUAAUUAGUUAGAAUCCCUUUCGAAUUCCAUAAAGAAGUUAACAUUCAUAUUAAAAAAAAGAAGCUAUUAUUAAAUACAUGUGUGGUUUAAAAAAAUUUAAGAGCCAAGACCCGAAAGAUCCGUAAAUAAAUCAAAUAAUAUUCAACUUCAAUCCAAAUUUCAGUUACACCACCAUAUGGAAUAUCUAACUUUCGGUAUCUAUCACUUUUAUGCGUAUACAUUUGUGUUGACAAAAAACAGAUGUAUAUUUUGGUACUUGUCUUUGUAUAUGGUCGUGUAAAAGAAUUACAAUCAUGCACAAGUUGUGGUAGAAUCGGCACGAGGUUUUUUAAUGUUAGUGGUGAGGGAAUUUCGAAACGUGUUUAAAACUCAAACAAAUGGCUGAAAAGAGUUGAAAAGCUUUGUUAUACCCACCAAUAUGUUUGGCUUCAUUACCUAAUGUCUUGCUUUGAUGUCUUUUCAAAGAUCAAUUCUAUCUUUAGCCUCAAGAAUAUAUAUAUAACCGAUGCAUAGUUUGAAAACUUAGCUUUGCUUCUCUUGUUAAACAUAUAACCUGACUAUCUUAAAAUUUUAUGUGUAUUUAGGUAAUCACUAACCUAUUUCCCCAUUUUGCAUGAAGUUCCAUGAUGGUGAGCUGUUCUUCUGGUGUGAUAUUUCCCCGUCGCACAUCAGGUCGGAGGUAGUUCAGCCACCGGAGCCGGCAACUUUUCCCGAUUUGGCGAGAGAGUUCCAAACACCUUCACCAUGAUUGGCGAUAUAAUUGAUGAGAAUCAAAUCUUCUUCCAUCGUCCAUGGCCCUUUUCUCACCUCUGCAUCUCCUGAUCCAGACCCACCACUACUUUCUCUUUUCUCCAUUUUUAUGAAAUGAAUCUAAAUAAGUACUCUAUAUAAUUGAUAGAUGAUGAUAUUUUUCUAGAGAGAGAAAUAGAAAGGGAGAGUUGUGAAAGUGAGAGAGAGAGUUGAUAUUUUGAGGUGGUGGGCAGGUAGCUACUGCUUUUAUAGAGAAGGUUUUUCAAGAGUUUAAGGCAUUGUUAAUAACCUUUAAUCCAAAAUCUUAAAUGUCUUUUAGAUACUAAUUAGCGACACAUAUUGUCGUUUUUACUUUAUUUUAUAAAUUUUCAUAACACAUGGGGAGCUAGUGCAGCUUCAAGACC
Molecule: long non-coding RNA, 1380 nt
Organism: Arabidopsis thaliana (thale cress)
Lineage: Eukaryota; Viridiplantae; Streptophyta; Magnoliopsida; Brassicales; Brassicaceae
Product: other RNA
Exons: 2
Source: RefSeq